RNAcentral lists this unclassified non-coding RNA (334 nucleotides) under soil metagenome. RNAcentral's name for it is "partial contains 5.8S ribosomal RNA, internal transcribed spacer 2, and large subunit ribosomal RNA". The stretch from base 1 to 120 matches the Rfam family "5.8S ribosomal RNA", at positions 35 to 154 of the family's 154-position model. The record is from RNAcentral.
GAUGAAGAACGCAGCGAAAUGCGAUAAGUAAUGUGAAUUGCAGAAUUCAGUGAAUCAUCGAAUCUUUGAACGCACAUUGCGCCCGCCAGUAUUCUGGCGAGCAUGCCUGUUCGAGCGUCAUUUCAACCAUCAAGCCCCAGGCUUGUGUUGGAGCCCUGCGGCUGCCGCAGCCUCCCAAAACCAGUGGCGGGCUCGCUAUCACACCGAGUGCAGUAGUUUACUCUUCGCUCAGGGCGUGUGGCGGGUGCUAGCCGUGAAACCCCCAACUUCUCAAGGCUGACCUCGGAUCAGGUAGGAAUACCCGCUGAACUUAAGCAUAUCAAUAAGCGGAGGA